GUAGGUGAACCUGCGGAAGGAUCAUUACCAUAUCCAAAACUUUACCAACCCACCGUGUGAACUGUUGUGUUGGGCGGUUGCCUUCGGCAACAGCCCGACAUCCUAUUUUACCAACCGAGAUUUUUUCUCGUGUGGUUGGUGAAAUGGCAACAACCCCUUUGUGAAACCAACCUAGAAAACCUGACUUUGUGGGGCCUUUGCUAAACAAGGGUCGCACGAUUUGAAAACGAAAACCAAUAGACAACUUACAACGGUGGAUCUCUUGGCUCGU
This 271-nucleotide unclassified non-coding RNA is filed under the name rhizosphere metagenome. RNAcentral describes it as "partial ribosomal RNA internal transcribed spacer region". The record is from RNAcentral.